This 254-nucleotide ribosomal RNA is filed under the name uncultured bacterium. RNAcentral describes it as "partial 16S ribosomal RNA". It matches the Rfam family "Bacterial small subunit ribosomal RNA", at positions 524 to 776 of the family's 1533-position model. RNAcentral also lists the same sequence under 1 other name. The record is from RNAcentral.
UACGUAGGGUGCGAGCGUUGUCCGGAAUUAUUGGGCGUAAAGAGCUCGUAGGCGGUCUGUCGCGUCGGUCGUGAAAACCUGCAGCUUAACUGUGGGCUUGCGGUCGAUACGGGCAUGACUGGAGUUCGGCAGGGGAGACUGGAAUUCCUGGUGUAGCGGUGAAAUGCGCAGAUAUCAGGAGGAACACCGGUGGCGAAGGCGGGUCUCUGGGCCGAUACUGACGCUGAGGAGCGAAAGCGUGGGGAGCGAACAGG